Molecule: ribosomal RNA, 429 nt
Filed under: Chloroflexota bacterium
Lineage: Bacteria; Bacillati; Chloroflexota
Description: Chloroflexi bacterium partial 16S ribosomal RNA
Rfam family: Bacterial small subunit ribosomal RNA
Source: RNAcentral
UGGGGAAUAUUGCACAAUGGGCGCAAGCCUGAUGCAGCCAUGCCGCGUGUAUGAAGAAGGCCUUCGGGUUGUAAAGUACUUUCAGUCGGGAGGAAGGUGGUAAGGUUAAUAACCUUAUCAAUUGACGUUACCGACAGAAGAAGCACCGGCUAACUCCGUGCCAGCAGCCGCGGUAAUACGGAGGGUGCAAGCGUUAAUCGGAAUUACUGGGCGUAAAGCGCACGCAGGCGGUUGAUUGAGUCAGAUGUGAAAUCCCCGGGCUUAACCCGGGAAUUACAUCUGAUACUGGUCAGCUAGAGUCUUGUAGAGGGGGGUAGAAUUCCAUGUGUAGCGGUGAAAUGCGUAGAGAUGUGGAGGAAUACCGGUGGCGAAGGCGGCCCCCUGGACAAAGACUGACGCUCAGGUGCGAAAGCGUGGGGAGCAAACAGG